Molecule: transfer RNA, 71 nt
Filed under: Ictidomys tridecemlineatus (thirteen-lined ground squirrel)
Lineage: Eukaryota; Metazoa; Chordata; Mammalia; Rodentia; Sciuridae
Description: Spermophilus tridecemlineatus (thirteen-lined ground squirrel) tRNA
Rfam family: tRNA
About the family: Transfer RNA (tRNA) molecules are approximately 80 nucleotides in length. Their secondary structure includes four short double-helical elements and three loops (D, anti-codon, and T loops). Further hydrogen bonds mediate the characteristic L-shaped molecular structure. tRNAs have two regions of fundamental functional importance: the anti-codon, which is responsible for specific mRNA codon recognition, and the 3' end, to which the tRNAs corresponding amino acid is attached (by aminoacyl-tRNA synthetases). tRNAs cope with the degeneracy of the genetic code in two manners: having more than one tRNA (with a specific anti-codon) for a particular amino acid; and 'wobble' base-pairing, i.e. permitting non-standard base-pairing at the 3rd anti-codon position.
Source: Rfam by way of RNAcentral
GGGGAUGUAGCUCAGUGGUAGAGUGUUUGCCUAGCAUGUGAGAGGCCCUGAAUUCAAUUCCCAUAUCCCCU